Molecule: ribosomal RNA, 587 nt
Filed under: uncultured bacterium
Lineage: Bacteria
Description: partial 16S ribosomal RNA
Rfam family: Bacterial small subunit ribosomal RNA
Source: RNAcentral
UGGGGAAUUUUGGACAAUGGGCGAAAGCCUGAUCCAGCAAUGCCGCGUGUGUGAAGAAGGCCUUCGGGUUGUAAAGCACUUUUGUCCGGAAAGAAAUCCUUGGCUCUAAUACAGUCGGGGGAUGACGGUACCGGAAGAAUAAGCACCGGCUAACUACGUGCCAGCAGCCGCGGUAAUACGUAGGGUGCAAGCGUUAAUCGGAAUUACUGGGCGUAAAGCGUGCGCAGGCGGUUUGCUAAGACCGAUGUGAAAUCCCCGGGCUCAACCUGGGAACUGCAUUGGUGACUGGCAGGCUAGAGUAUGGCAGAGGGGGGUAGAAUUCCACGUNUAGCAGUGAAAUGCGUAGAGAUGUGGAGGAAUACCGAUGGCGAAGGCAGCCCCCUGGGCCAAAUACUGACGCUCAUGCACGAAAGCGUGGGGAGCAAACAGGAUUAGAUACCCUGGUAGUCCACGCCCUAAAACGAUGUCAACUAGUUGUUGGGGAUUCAUUUCCUUAGUAACGUAGCUAACGCGUGAAGUUGACCGCCUGGGGAGUACGGUCGCAAGAUUAAAACUUAAAUGAAUUGACGGGGUCAUAGCUGUUUCCU